RNAcentral lists this ribosomal RNA (484 nucleotides) under uncultured bacterium. Its description in RNAcentral is "partial 16S ribosomal RNA". It matches the Rfam family "Bacterial small subunit ribosomal RNA", at positions 39 to 507 of the family's 1533-position model. The record is from RNAcentral.
GGGGGGGGGGGGGGGGGGGGCUGACGCGUGGGGGUCGGGCGGGGGGGGGGGGCGUGCUCCUGGGUUCGGCGGGGGGCGGGGGAGUGAUGCCUAGGACUCUGCCUGUCUGUGGGUGGUGACGUCCGGGCACGGGCGCUGAUACCGCCUACUUGCUGAUUGAGAAAGUGGUGGAUCUUCUGACCUCACGCUAUCUGAUGAGCCUAGGCGGGGCUAGCUGGUUGGUGGGGUAAAUGCCUACCCAGCCGACGAUCAGUAACUGGUGUGGGAGGAUGAUCAGUCACACUGGAACGGAGACACGGUCCAGACUCCUACGGGAGGCAGCAGUGGGGAAUAUUGGACAAUGGGCGGAAGCCUGAUCCAGCCGUGCCGCGUGUGUGAAGAAGGUCUUCGGAUUGUAAAGCACUUUAAGUUGGGAGGAAGGGCAGUAAGUUAAUACCUUGCUGUUUUGACGGUACCAACAGAAUAAGCACCGGCUAACUUCGUG